UACACUCCUGCGGGAGGCAGCAGUGGGGAAUUUUGGACAAUGGGCGAAAGCCUGAUCCAGCAAUGCCGCGUGAGUGAAGAAGGCCUUCGGGUUGUAAAGCUCUUUUGUCAGGGAAGAAACGGUGAAAGCUAAUAUCUUUUGCUAAUGACGGUACCUGAAGAAUAAGCACCGGCUAACUACGUGCCAGCAGCCGCGGUAAUACGUAGGGUGCAAGCGUUAAUCGGAAUUACUGGGCGUAAAGCGUGCGCAGGCGGUUUUGUAAGUCUGAUGUGAAAUCCCCGGGCUCAACCUGGGAAUUGCAUUGGAGACUGCAAGGCUAGAAUCUGGCAGAGGGGGGUAGAAUUCCACGUGUAGCAGUGAAAUGCGUAGAUAUGUGGAGGAACACCGAUGGCGAAGGCAGCCCCCUGGGUCAAGAUUGACGCUCAUGCACGAAAGCGUGGGGAGCAAACAGGAUUAGAUACCCCUGUAGUCCCAUGA
This 477-nucleotide ribosomal RNA is filed under the name uncultured organism. RNAcentral describes it as "partial 16S ribosomal RNA". It matches the Rfam family "Bacterial small subunit ribosomal RNA", at positions 332 to 800 of the family's 1533-position model. The record is from RNAcentral.